AGAGUUUGAUCCUGGCUCAGAUUGAACGCUGGCGGAAUGCUUUACACAUGCAAGUCGAACGAUGAAGUCUAGCUUGCUAGACGGAUUAGUGGCGAACGGGUGAGUAAUAUAUCGGAACGUAUCCAUUAAUGGGGGAUAACUAGUCGAAAGAUUGGCUAAUACCGCAUACGUCCUACGGGAGAAAGCUAGGGACCUUCGGGCCUGGCGUUAAUGGAGCGGCCGAUAUCUGAUUAGCUAGUUGGUGAGGUAAAGGCUCACCAAGGCGACGAUCAGUAGCUGGUCUGAGAGGACGACCAGCCACACUGGAACUGAGACACGGUCCAGACUCCUACGGGAGGCAGCAGUGGGGAAUUUUGGACAAUGGGCGCAAGCCUGAUCCAGCCAUUCCGCGUGAGUGAAGAAGGCCUUCGGGUUGUAAAGCUCUUUCGCAAGGGAAGAAAACUUACUCUCUAACAUAGGGUGAGGAUGACGGUACCUUGAUAAGAAGCACCGGCUAACUACGUGCCAGCAGCCGCGGUAAUACGUAGGGUGCGAGCGUUAAUCGGAAUUACUGGGCGUAAAGCGUGCGCAGGCUGUUUUGUAAGUCAGAUGUGAAAUCCCUGGGCUCAACCUAGGAACUGCGUUUGAAACUACAAGACUAGAAUAUGUCAGAGGGGGGUAGAAUUCCACGUGUAGCAGUGAAAUGCGUAGAGAUGUGGAGGAAUACCAAUGGCGAAGGCAGCCCCCUGGGAUAAUAUUGACGCUCAUGCACGAAAGCGUGGGGAGCAAACAGGAUUAGAUACCCUGGUAGUCCACGCCCUAAACGAUGUCUACUAGUUGUUGGUGGAGUAAAAUCCAUGAGUAACGCAGCUAACGCGUGAAGU
RNAcentral lists this ribosomal RNA (863 nucleotides) under uncultured bacterium. RNAcentral describes it as "bacterial SSU rRNA". It matches the Rfam family "Bacterial small subunit ribosomal RNA", at positions 8 to 865 of the family's 1533-position model. The record is from RNAcentral.